GACGAACGCUGGCGGCGUGCUUAACACAUGCAAGUCGAACGGAAAGGCCCUGCUUUUGUGGGGUGCUCGAGUGGCGAACGGGUGAGUAACACGUGAGUAACCUGCCCUGACUUUGGGAUAACUUCAGGAAACUGGGGCUAAUACCGGAUAGGAGCUCCUGCUGCAUGGUGGGGGUUGGAAAGUUUCGGCGGUGGGGGAUGGACUCGCGGCUUAUCAGCUUGUUGGUGGGGUAGUGGCUUACCAAGGCUUUGACGGGUAGCCGGCCUGCGAGGGUGACCGGCCUAAUUGGGACGGAGAUACGGCCCAGACUCCUACGGGAGGCAGCAGUGGGGAAUAUUGCACAAUGGGCGGAAGCCUGAUGCAGCAACGCCGCGUGCGGGAUGACGGCCUUCGGGUUGUAAACCGCUUUCGCCUGUGACGAAGCGUGAGUGACGGUAAUGGGUAAAGAAGCACCGGCUAACUACGUGCCAGCCGCCGCCGUAA
RNAcentral lists this ribosomal RNA (483 nucleotides) under uncultured bacterium. RNAcentral describes it as "partial 16S ribosomal RNA". It matches the Rfam family "Bacterial small subunit ribosomal RNA", at positions 28 to 523 of the family's 1533-position model. The record is from RNAcentral.